RNAcentral lists this ribosomal RNA (253 nucleotides) under uncultured bacterium. RNAcentral describes it as "partial 16S ribosomal RNA". It matches the Rfam family "Bacterial small subunit ribosomal RNA", at positions 524 to 776 of the family's 1533-position model. The record is from RNAcentral.
UACGUAGGGGGCAAGCGUUAUCCGGAUUUACUGGGUGUAAAGGGAGCGUAGACGGCGGCGCAAGUCUGAUGUGAAAGCCUGGGGCUCAACCCCGGAACUGCAUUGGAAACUGUGCUGCUGGAGUGCCGGAGAGGUAAGCGGAAUUCCUAGUGUAGCGGUGAAAUGCGUAGAUAUUAGGAGGAACACCAGUGGCGAAGGCGGCUUACUGGACGGUAACUGACGUUGAGGCUCGAAAGCGUGGGGAGCAAACAGG